This 319-nucleotide ribosomal RNA is filed under the name uncultured bacterium. Its description in RNAcentral is "partial 16S ribosomal RNA". It matches the Rfam family "Bacterial small subunit ribosomal RNA", at positions 355 to 665 of the family's 1533-position model. The record is from RNAcentral.
UAGGGAAUCUUCCACAAUGGACGCAAGUCUGAUGGAGCAACGCCGCGUGAGUGAAGAAGGUUUUCGGAUCGUAAAGCUCUGUUGUAAGUCAAGAACGGGUGUGAGAGUGGAAAGUUCACACUGUGACGGUAGCUUACCAGAAAGGGACGGCUAACUACGUGCCAGCAGCCGCGGUAAUACGUAGGUCCCGAGCGUUGUCCGGAUUUAUUGGGCGUAAAGCGAGCGCAGGCGGUUUGAUAAGUCUGAAGUUAAAGGCUGUGGCUCAACCAUAGUUCGCUUUGGAAAACUGUCAAACUUGAGUGCAGAAGGGGAGAGUGGA